RNAcentral lists this ribosomal RNA (254 nucleotides) under uncultured bacterium. Its description in RNAcentral is "partial 16S ribosomal RNA". It matches the Rfam family "Bacterial small subunit ribosomal RNA", at positions 524 to 776 of the family's 1533-position model. The record is from RNAcentral.
UACAUAGGGGCCUAGCGUUGUCCGGAAUUAUUGGGCGUAAAGAGCUCGUAGGCGGUUCGGCAAGUCGGAUGUGAAAUCUCCACGCUUAACAUGGAGGGGCCAUUCGAAACUGCUGUGACUCGAGUCCGGUAGGGGAGUGUGGAAUUCCCGGUGUAGCGGUGAAAUGCGCAGAUAUCGGGAGGAACACCAGUAGCGAAGGCGGCACUCUGGGCCGGAACUGACGCUGAGGAGCGAAAGCGUGGGGAGCGAACAGG